ACUCCUACGGGAGGCAGCAGUGAGGAAUAUUGGUCAAUGGGCGAUGGCCUGAACCAGCCAAGUAGCGUGAAGGAUGACUGCCCUAUGGGUUGUAAACUUCUUUUAUAAAGGAAUAAAGUCGGGUAUGCAUACCCGUUUGCAUGUACUUUAUGAAUAAGGAUCGGCUAACUCCGUGCCAGCAGCCGCGGUAAUAC
This 194-nucleotide ribosomal RNA is filed under the name uncultured bacterium. RNAcentral's name for it is "partial 16S ribosomal RNA". It matches the Rfam family "Bacterial small subunit ribosomal RNA", at positions 335 to 526 of the family's 1533-position model. The record is from RNAcentral.